AUUGAACGCUGGCGGCAUGCCUUACACAUGCAAGUCGAACGGCAGCACGGGAGCAAUCCUGGUGGCGAGUGGCGAACGGGUGAGUAAUAUAUCGGAACGUGCCCAGUCGUGGGGGAUAACGUAGCGAAAGCUACGCUAAUACCGCAUACGAUCUACGGAUGAAAGCGGGGGAUCGCAAGACCUCGCGCGAUUGGAGCGGCCGAUAUCAGAUUAGCUAGUUGGUGGGGUAAAAGCUCACCAAGGCGACGAUCUGUAGCUGGUCUGAGAGGACGACCAGCCACACUGGAACUGAGACACGGUCCAGACUCCUACGGGAGGCAGCAGUGGGGAAUUUUGGGACAAUGGGCGCAAGCCUGAUCCAGCAAUGCCGCGUGCAGGAUGAAGGCCUUCGGUUGUAAACUGCUUUUGUACGGAACGAAAGCUUCUAGUUAAUACCUGGAGUCAUGACGGUACCGUAAGAAUAAGCACGGCUAACUACGUGCC
This 483-nucleotide ribosomal RNA is filed under the name uncultured bacterium. RNAcentral's name for it is "bacterial SSU rRNA". It matches the Rfam family "Bacterial small subunit ribosomal RNA", at positions 30 to 509 of the family's 1533-position model. The record is from RNAcentral.